AUCUAUCUGACGAGUCCCAAAUAGGACGAAACACGCGUCUUGGAU
Molecule: non-coding RNA, 45 nt
Filed under: Schistosoma mansoni
Lineage: Eukaryota; Metazoa; Platyhelminthes; Trematoda; Strigeidida; Schistosomatidae
Source: RNAcentral